CUACGGAGGGUGCAAACGUUGUUCGGAAUUACUGGGCGUAAAGCGCGCGUAGGCGGUUUGUUAAGUCAGAUGUGAAAGCCCAAGGCUCAACCUUGGACGUGCAUUUGAAACUGGCAGACUUGAGUACUGGAGGGGAUGGUGGAAUUCCCGGUGUAGAGGUGAAAUUCGUAGAUAUCGGGAGGAAUACCGGUGGCGAAGGCGACCAUCUGGCCAGAUACUGACGCUGAGGUGCGAAAGCGUGGGGAGCAAACAGGAUUAGAAACCCCAGUAGUCC
Molecule: ribosomal RNA, 274 nt
Filed under: uncultured bacterium
Lineage: Bacteria
Description: partial 16S ribosomal RNA
Rfam family: Bacterial small subunit ribosomal RNA
Source: RNAcentral